Molecule: ribosomal RNA, 380 nt
Filed under: Lysobacter gummosus
Lineage: Bacteria; Pseudomonadati; Pseudomonadota; Gammaproteobacteria; Lysobacterales; Lysobacteraceae
Description: partial 16S ribosomal RNA
Rfam family: Bacterial small subunit ribosomal RNA
Source: RNAcentral
ACACUGGCCUUGANAUCCACGGAACUUUNCCAGAGAUGGAUUGGUGCCUUCGGGAACCGUGAGANCAGGUGNUGCAUGGCUGUNGUNAGCUCGUGUCGUGAGAUGUUGGGUUAAGUCCCGCAACGAGCGCAACCCUUGUCCUUAGUUGCCAGCANGUNAUGGUGGGAACUUUAAGGAGACCGCCGGUGACAAACCGGAGGAAGGUGGGGAUGACGUNAAGUNAUNAUGGCCCUUACGGACCAGGGNUACACACGUACUACAAUGGUAGGGACACGAGGGCUGCAACACCCGNGAGGGCAGAGCCAAUCCCAGAAACCCUAUNUCAGUCCGGAUNGGAGUUUGCAAANUUGAGCUCCGUGAAGUNGGAGAUCGGNUAGUAA